UACAGAGGGGGCAAGCGUUGUUCGGAAUUACUGGGCGUAAAGAGUGUGUAGGCGGUGCUCUAAGUCUGUCGUGAAAUCUCCCGGCUUAACUGGGAGGGUGCGGCGGAAACUGGAAUGCUAGAGGGUGGGAGAGGAAAGCGGAAUUCCUGGUGUAGCGGUGAAAUGCGUAGAUAUCAGGAGGAACACCUGCGGUGUAGACAGCUUUCUGGACCACUUCUGACGCUGAGACACGAAAGCGUGGGUAGCAAACAGG
Molecule: ribosomal RNA, 253 nt
Filed under: uncultured bacterium
Lineage: Bacteria
Description: partial 16S ribosomal RNA
Rfam family: Bacterial small subunit ribosomal RNA
Source: RNAcentral